CAGCAGCCGCGGUAAUACGAAUGGUGCAAACGUUGUUCGGAAUCACUGGGCUUAAAGCGCACGUAGGCGGCUUGGCCAGUCAGGUGUGAAAUCCCUCAGCUCAACUGAGGAAUUGUGCUUGAUACUGCCAGGCUCGAGUAAGGUAGGGGGGCGUGGAACUUCGGGUGGAGCGGUGAAAUGCGUAGAUAUCCGAAAGAACGUCGGUGGUGAAAACGGCGCCCUGGGCCUUUACUGACGCUGAGGUGCGAAAGCUAGGGGAGCGAACGGGAUUAGAUACCCCGGUAGUCCUAGCCGUAAACGAUGGGUACAAGGUAGUGGAGGUUCCGAUGCCCCCUCUGCUGAAGCAAAAGUGAUAAGUACCCCGCCUGGGGAGUAUGGUCGCAAGGCUAAAACUCAAAGGAAUUGACGGGGGCUCACACAAGCGGUGGAGCAUGUGGCUUAAUUCGAGGCAACGCGAAGAACCUUAUCCUGGGCUUGACAUGCACGGAUUAGCCAUCUGAAAGGAUGGUGACGCUCUUUGAGUGGAACGUGCACAGGUGCUGCAUGGCUGUCGUCAGCUCGUGUCGUGAGAUGUUGGGUUAAGUCCCGUAACGAGCGAAACCCUUGCCCUUAGUUGCCAGCGGGUCAUGCCGGGGACUCUAAGGGGACUGCCGGUGUUAAACCGGAGGAAGGUGGGGAUGACGUCAAGUCAUCAUGGCCUUUAUGUCCAGGGCUGCACA
Molecule: ribosomal RNA, 719 nt
Filed under: uncultured Planctomycetota bacterium
Lineage: Bacteria; Pseudomonadati; Planctomycetota
Description: bacterial SSU rRNA
Rfam family: Bacterial small subunit ribosomal RNA
Source: RNAcentral